This 548-nucleotide ribosomal RNA is filed under the name uncultured Glomeromycotina. RNAcentral's name for it is "SSU rRNA". It matches the Rfam family "Eukaryotic small subunit ribosomal RNA", at positions 548 to 1098 of the family's 1831-position model. The record is from RNAcentral. Lineage: Eukaryota; Fungi; Glomeromycota.
UUGGAGGGCAAGUCUGGUGCCAACAGCCGCGGUAAUUCCAGCUCCAAUAGCGUAUAUUAAAGUUGCUGCAGUUAAAAAGCUCGUAGUUGAAUUUCGGGACUAUCAUGUCGGUCGUGCCUCGGUACGUACUGGUAUUGUUGGUUUCUCCCUUCUGACGAACCAUGAUGUCAUUUAUUUGGUGUUGUGGGGAAUCAGGACUGUUACUUUGAAAAAAUUAGAGUGUUUAAAGCAGGCUCACGCUUGAAUACAUUAGCAUGGAAUAAUGAAAUAGGACGUUUGAUUCUAUUUUGUUGGUUUCUAGGAUCGGCGUAAUGAUUAAUAGGGAUAGUUGGGGGCAUUAGUAUUCAAUUGUCAGAGGUGAAAUUCUUGGAUUUAUUGAAGACUAACUACUGCGAAAGCAUUUGCCAAGGAUGUUUUCAUUAAUCAAGAACGAAAGUUAGGGGAUCGAAGACGAUCAGAUACCGUCGUAGUCUUAACCAUAAACUAUGCCGACUAGGGAUCGGAUGAUGUCAAUUUUUUAAUGACUCAUUCGGCGCCUUACGGGAAAC